CAGUCGUACCUGCGGAAAAUCAGCCUUUCGGGUGCGAUUCUGUGGGGCGUGAGGAGCUUAACCGCCUUCAUGUUUUGCAUAUUCGUGCACAUUUGGUGUACUUGUCCGUGUGGUGGGGUUAACAUCAAUUUCGGUCGUCAUAAAUGACUGGGAGGAAUGUAGCUUUGGUCUCGUAUCGAAGUGUUAUAGACUCUGGUAGAUGUGACGUAUUGGGAUUGAGGUAUUGGCAACGGAUACCC
This 239-nucleotide ribosomal RNA is filed under the name Rhizophagus intraradices. Lineage: Eukaryota; Fungi; Glomeromycota; Glomeromycetes; Glomerales; Glomeraceae. The record is from RNAcentral.